UACGUAGGGUGCAAGCGUUACUCGGCCUUACUGGGCGUAAAGCGUGCGCAGGCGGUUGUGCGAGGCAGAUGUGAAAUCCCCGGGCUUAACCUGGGAAUGGCAUUUGUGACUGCACGGCUAGAGUGUGUCAGAGGGGGGUAGAAUUCCACGUGUAGCAGUGGAAUGCGUAGAUAUGUGGAGGAAUACCGAUGGCGAAGGCAGCCCCCUGGGAUAACACUGACGCUCAUGCACGAAAGCGUGGGGAGCAAACAGG
RNAcentral lists this ribosomal RNA (253 nucleotides) under uncultured bacterium. RNAcentral describes it as "partial 16S ribosomal RNA". It matches the Rfam family "Bacterial small subunit ribosomal RNA", at positions 524 to 776 of the family's 1533-position model. The record is from RNAcentral.